GGGUUUUAAACCCUUAAUUGAACUUUUUCCUUUAAUCAGCAUUAGGGUUUUAAACCCUAAACUGAAUUUUCCAUUUAGUCAGCAUUAGGGUUUUAAACCCUAAACUGAACUUUUUCCUUUCAGCCAGCAUUAGGGUUUUAAACCCUAAACUGAGCUUUUCCAUGCAAUCAGCAUUAGGGUUUUAAACCCUAAACUGAAUUUUUCCUUUCAGUCAGCAUUGAGGUUUUAAACCCUGAACUGAACUUUUCCAUUUAGUCAGCAUUAGGGUUUUAAACCCUAAACUGAACUCUUUCCAUUCAGCCAUCAUUAGGGUUUUAAACCCUAAACUGAGCUUUUUCCAUGCAUGUCAGCAUUAGGGUUUUAAACCCUAAACUGAACCUUUCCCUUUAGUCAGCAUUAGGGUUUUAAACCCUAAACUGAACUUUUUUCUUUUAGCCAGCAUUAGGGUCUUAAACCCUAAACUGAGCUUUUCCAUGCAAUCAGCAUUUAGGGUUUUAAAACCCUAAACUGAACUUUUUCCUUUAGUUAGCAUUAGGGUUUUAAACUCUAAACUGAACUUUUUCUUUUCAGCCAGCAUUAGGGUUUUAAACCCUAAACUGAGUUUUUCCAUGCAAUCAGCAUUAGGGUUUUAAACCCUAAACUGAGUUUUUCCAUUUAGUCAGCAUUAGGGUUUUAAACCCUAAAUUGAACUCUUUCCUUUCAGCCAGCAUUAGGGUUUUAAACCCUAAACUGAGCUUUUCCAUUCAGCCAGCAUUA
This 756-nucleotide long non-coding RNA is filed under the name Nicotiana tabacum (common tobacco). Its description in RNAcentral is "long non-coding RNA (NTAB_LNC017926)". The record is from RNAcentral. Lineage: Eukaryota; Viridiplantae; Streptophyta; Magnoliopsida; Solanales; Solanaceae.